CCUACGGGAGGCUGCAGUCGAGAAUCAUUCACAAUGGGGGAAACCCUGAUGGUGCGACGCCGCGUGGGGGAAUGAAGGUCUUCGGAUUGUAAACCCCUGUCAUGUGGGAGCAAAUUAAAAAGAUAGUACCACAAGAGGAAGAGACGGCUAACUCUGUGCCAGCAGCCGCGGUAAUACAGAGGUUUCAAGCGUUGUUCGGAAUCACUGGGCGUAAAGCGUGCGAAGGCUGUUUCGUAAGUCUUGUGUGAAAGGCGGGGGCUCAACCCGCGGACGGCACAUGAUACUGCGAGACUAGAGUAAUGGAGGGGGAACCGGAAUUCUCGGUGUAGCAGGGAAAUGCGUAGAUAUCGAGAGGAACACUCGUGGCGAAGGCGGGUUCCUGGACAUUAACUGACGCUGAGGCACGAAGGCCAGGGGAGCGAAAGGGAUUAGAUACCCCAGUAGUC
RNAcentral lists this ribosomal RNA (446 nucleotides) under uncultured bacterium. RNAcentral's name for it is "partial 16S ribosomal RNA". It matches the Rfam family "Bacterial small subunit ribosomal RNA", at positions 338 to 795 of the family's 1533-position model. The record is from RNAcentral.